RNAcentral lists this unclassified non-coding RNA (331 nucleotides) under soil metagenome. Its description in RNAcentral is "partial contains 5.8S ribosomal RNA, internal transcribed spacer 2, and large subunit ribosomal RNA". The stretch from base 1 to 120 matches the Rfam family "5.8S ribosomal RNA", at positions 35 to 154 of the family's 154-position model. The record is from RNAcentral.
GAUGAAGAACGUAGCGAAAUGCGAUAAGUAAUGUGAAUUGCAGAAUUCAGUGAAUCAUCGAAUCUUUGAACGCACAUUGCGCCCCUUGGUAUUCCGAGGGGCAUGCCUGUUCGAGCGUCAUUUCAACCCUCAAGCUCUGCUUGGUAUUGGGCCCUGCCGCUGGGCAGGCCUUAAAAUCAGUGGCGGUGCCGUCGCGGCUCCAAGCGUAGUACAUCUCUCGCUCCGGAGGCCCGGUGGUGUCUCGCCAGACAACCCCCAAAUUGUCUUCUAUGGUUGACCUCGGAUCAGGUAGGGAUACCCGCUGAACUUAAGCAUAUCAAUAAGCGGAGGA